GAGUUUGAUCAUGGCUCAGGAUGAACGCCGGCGGUGUGCCUAAUACAUGCAAGUCGUACGCACUGGCCCAACUGAUUGAUGGUGCUUGCACCUGAUCGACGAUGGAUCACCAGUGAGUGGCGGACGGGUGAGUAACACGUAGGUAACCUGCCCUGUACAGGGGGAUAACAAUCAGAAAUGACUGCUAAUACCGCAUAAGACCACAGCACCGCAUGGUGCAGGGGUAAAAACUCCGGUGGUACAGGAUGGACCCGCGUCUGAUUAGCUGGUUGGUGAGGUAACGGCUCACCAAGGCGACGAUCAGUAGCCGGCUUGAGAGAGUGAACGGCCACAUUGGGACUGAGACACGGCCCAAAACUCCUACGGGAGGCCAGCAGUGGGGAAUAUUGCACAAUGGGGAAACCCUGAUGCAGCAACGCCGCGUGAGUGAAGAAGUAUUUCGGUAUGUAAAGCUCUAUCAGCAGGGAAGAAAGUGACGGUA
This 481-nucleotide ribosomal RNA is filed under the name uncultured microorganism. RNAcentral describes it as "bacterial SSU rRNA". It matches the Rfam family "Bacterial small subunit ribosomal RNA", at positions 9 to 477 of the family's 1533-position model. The record is from RNAcentral.